GAUGAAGAACGCAGCGAAAUGCGAUAAGUAAUGUGAAUUGCAGAAUUCAGUGAAUCAUCGAAUCUUUGAACGCACCUUGCACCCUUUGGCAUUCCGAAGGGUAUGCUCGUUUGAGUGUCAUUGUACUCUCACUCUCCCGAUGCUUUUGGAUCGGGAGUGGUAGACUUGGGUGUUGCUGCUUUGCUGUGGCUCGCCUCAAAUGGAGUAGUGCAACUCUUGGUUGGACAUAGUACGGCGUGAUAAGUGUCUUCGCCGGCGCCUCAUUAUAGAGGGUGGCCGAUCGGGAGCUCUGUGCUUCAAACCGUCUUCGGACAACAUCUGACAACUUGACCUCAAAUCGAGUAGGACUACCCGCUGAACUUCAGCAUAUCAAUAAGCGGAGGA
Molecule: unclassified non-coding RNA, 384 nt
Filed under: soil metagenome
Description: partial contains 5.8S ribosomal RNA, internal transcribed spacer 2, and large subunit ribosomal RNA
Rfam family: 5.8S ribosomal RNA (bases 1-120)
Source: RNAcentral